Molecule: ribosomal RNA, 253 nt
Filed under: uncultured bacterium
Lineage: Bacteria
Description: partial 16S ribosomal RNA
Rfam family: Bacterial small subunit ribosomal RNA
Source: RNAcentral
UACGUAGGGGGCAAGCGUUGUCCGGAAUCAUUGGGCGUAAAGAGCGCGUAGGCGGCCCUGUAAGUCCGCUGUGAAAGUCAAGGGCUCAACCCUUGAAUGCCGGUGGAUACUGCAGGGCUAGAGUCCGGAAGAGGCGAGUGGAAUUCCUGGUGUAGCGGUGAAAUGCGCAGAUAUCGGGAGGAACACCAAUGGCGAAGGCAGCUCGCUGGGACGUUACUGACGCUGAGACGCGAAAGCGUGGGGAGCAAACAGG